AUACAGAGGGUGCGAGCGUUAAUGGGAAUUACUGGGCGUAAAGCGCGCGUAGGCGGUCUAUUAAGUCAGAUGUGAAAUCCCAGGGCUCAACCUUGGAACUGCAUCUGAUACUGGUAGACUAGAGUUUUGGAGAGGGAAGUAGAAUUUCAGGUGUAGCGGUGAAAUGCAUAGAGAUCUGAAGGAAUACCAGUGGCGAAGGCGGCUUCCUGGCCUAAAACUGACGCUGAGGUGCGAAAGCGUGGGUAGCAAACGGGAUUAGAAACCCCGGUAGUCC
This 274-nucleotide ribosomal RNA is filed under the name uncultured bacterium. Its description in RNAcentral is "partial 16S ribosomal RNA". It matches the Rfam family "Bacterial small subunit ribosomal RNA", at positions 523 to 796 of the family's 1533-position model. The record is from RNAcentral.